Long non-coding RNA from Pipistrellus kuhlii (Kuhl's pipistrelle), 206 nucleotides. RefSeq lists it as uncharacterized. The transcript has 2 exons. The record is from RefSeq and is a predicted model, not a curated record. NCBI's taxonomy places the organism in Eukaryota, Metazoa, Chordata, Mammalia, Chiroptera, Vespertilionidae.
GAAAGGGUUAAAGAGAAUAAAAUGGGUCAGAGAAAAACUUAUUGUGCUUAGCAGAUAUCUUGCAGAAAUCUUGCAGCCUUGAGCACUGCAUAGCACAGAUAACCACUAGCCAUCUGACGCUGGGAGGAACCAAGGACGAACCAGACCCUUACAUCAUUAGAGUAGCUUACAACCAGCAAAAAUGAAUAAAAACCUCUCUCUCCCUG